Molecule: ribosomal RNA, 666 nt
Filed under: Cortinarius ceraceus
Lineage: Eukaryota; Fungi; Basidiomycota; Agaricomycetes; Agaricales; Cortinariaceae
Description: eukaryotic LSU rRNA
Rfam family: Eukaryotic large subunit ribosomal RNA
Source: RNAcentral
GUGACCUCAAAUCAGGUAGGACUACCCGCUGAACUUAAGCAUAUCAAUAAGCGGAGGAAAAGAAACUAACAAGGAUUCCCCUAGUAACUGCGAGUGAAGCGGGAAAAGCUCAAAUUUAAAAUCUGGCAGCCUUUGGUUGUCCGAGUUGUAAUCUAGAGAAGUGUUAUCCGCGCUGGACCGUGUACAAGUCUCCUGGAAUGGAGCGUCAUAGAGGGUGAGAAUCCCGUCUUUGACACGGACUGCCAGGGCUUUGUGAUGCGCUCUCAAAGAGUCGAGUUGUUUGGGAAUGCAGCUCAAAAUGGGUGGUAAAUUCCAUCUAAAGCUAAAUAUUGGCGAGAGACCGAUAGCGAACAAGUACCGUGAGGGAAAGAUGAAAAGAACUUUGGAAAGAGAGUUAAACAGUACGUGAAAUUGCUGAAAGGGAAACGCUUGAAGUCAGUCGCGUUGUCCAGGGAUCAACCUUGCUUUUGCUUGGUGCACUUUCUGGUUGACGGGUCAGCAUCAAUUUUGACUAUUGGAAAAAGAUUAGGGGAAUGUGGCAUCUUCGGAUGUGUUAUAGCCCUUGGUUGCAUACAAUGGUUGGGAUUGAGGAACUCAGCACGCCGCAAGGCCGGGUUUUUAACCACGUACGUGCUUAGGAUGCUGGCAUAAUGGCUUUAAUCGACC